AUGGUGACGUUGAGCUGGAAGAGGAUGUUGAGCGCCCCGCGGAUGUGCGCCGGCGCGAUCUCGGAGAGGAAGAGCGGCGCCGCCUGGUUGCCGAAGCCGACGCCGACGCCGAGGGAGAUGCGGCCGAUGAUGAGCAUGGCGAUGUUGACGGCCCCCGCGCACAGGCCGGCGCCGAUGAGGAAGAAGACGGAGGCGGCCUGCAUGGUGCGCUUGCGGCCGAAGCGCGUGCACGCCAUGGACGCCCCGAGGCUGGUGACGAGCGCGGCCAGGUAGAGCGACGACGUGAAGAGCUGCAGCCGCUGGUCGUCGAACUUGCAGUAG
RNAcentral lists this ribosomal RNA (321 nucleotides) under Triticum aestivum (bread wheat). RNAcentral describes it as "partial small subunit ribosomal RNA". The record is from RNAcentral. Lineage: Eukaryota; Viridiplantae; Streptophyta; Magnoliopsida; Poales; Poaceae.